This 449-nucleotide ribosomal RNA is filed under the name uncultured bacterium. RNAcentral describes it as "partial 16S ribosomal RNA". It matches the Rfam family "Bacterial small subunit ribosomal RNA", at positions 29 to 523 of the family's 1533-position model. The record is from RNAcentral.
AACGAACGCUGGCGGCAGGCUUAACACGUGCAAGUCGAACGAGAUCUUCGGAUCUAGUGGCAGACGGGUGAGGAACACGUGGGAACAUCCCUUUCAGUUCGGAAUAACGUCGGGAAACUAACGCUAAUACCGGAUACGUCCUUCGGGAGAAAGAUUUAUCGCUGAAAGAUUGGCCCGCGUCUGAUUAGCUAGUUGGUGAGGUAACGGCUCACCAAGGCUACGAUCAGUAGCUGAUCUGAGAGGAUGAUCAGCCACAUUGGGACUGAGACACGGCCCAAACUCCUACGGGAGGCAGCAGUGGGGAAUAUUGGACAAUGGGCGCAAGCCUGAUCCAGCCAUGCCGCGUGAGUGAUGACGGCCUUCGGGUUGUAAAGCUCUUUUGUCCGGGAAGAUAAUGACUGUACCGGAAGAAUAAGCCCCGGCAAACUUCGUGCCAGCCGCCGCCGUAA